Molecule: non-coding RNA, 264 nt
Organism: Paramuricea clavata
Lineage: Eukaryota; Metazoa; Cnidaria; Anthozoa; Malacalcyonacea; Plexauridae
Source: the annotation of a GenBank genome assembly
UUAGAAAAUCGAGAAUUUAUUAUGUUACAGAGGAGAUUCAGUCAUCUGGCGAUACUAAAUACCGAAUGUACUCAUGUCCAAGAACGACAAAAGAAAACGUAACUUUGGUUCAUUUACGGAGCAGGAUCUCUGUUACAAUCUCAACAAAAAUAUUUAGUUUUGAUUUAAAAAACUCCAGCAGAAUUAGUCAGACUUUUGAAUUAGUUUGGACUAUCACAGACUUUCUAAAAUACGUUAAGUUAUUCCUUGCAUAAUUAGUACGCU